AGCGAACGCUGGCGGCAGGCUUAACACAUGCAAGUCGAACGCAUCCUUCAGGGUGAGUGGCAGACGGGUGAGUAACACGUGGGAACAUACCUUUUGGUUCGGAAUAACUCAUGGAAACGUGAGCUAAUACCGGAUACGCCCUUUUGGGGAAAGAUUUAUUGCCGAAAGAUUGGCCCGCGUCUGAUUAGCUAGUUGGUGAGGUAAUGGCUCACCAAGGCGACGAUCAGUAGCUGGUCUGAGAGGUUGAUCAGCCACACUGGGACUGAGACACGGCCCAGACUCCUACGGGAGGCAGCAGUGGGGAAUAUUGGACAAUGGGCGCAAGCCUGAUCCAGCCAUGCCGCGUGAGUGAUGAAGGCCUUAGGGUUGUAAAGCUCUUUUAUCCGGGAAGAUAAUGACUGUACCGGAAGAAUAAGCCCCGGCUAACUUCGUGCCAGCCGCCGCGGUAA
RNAcentral lists this ribosomal RNA (449 nucleotides) under uncultured bacterium. RNAcentral's name for it is "partial 16S ribosomal RNA". It matches the Rfam family "Bacterial small subunit ribosomal RNA", at positions 29 to 523 of the family's 1533-position model. The record is from RNAcentral.